This 196-nucleotide unclassified non-coding RNA is filed under the name rhizosphere metagenome. Its description in RNAcentral is "partial ribosomal RNA internal transcribed spacer region". The record is from RNAcentral.
GUAGGUGAACCUGCGGAAGGAUCAUUAUCGUAGGGCUUCGGCUCUGUCGAGAUAGAACCCUUGCCUUUUUGAGUACCUUUCGUUUCCUCGGCAGGCUCGCCUGCCAAUGGGGACCCAAUAAACACUUUGCAGUACCUGUAAUAGUCUGAAAAACAAACAAAAAUUAAAACUUUCAACAACGGAUCUCUUGGUUCCG